Biomphalaria glabrata is the source of this 4529-nucleotide long non-coding RNA. RefSeq lists it as uncharacterized. NCBI's taxonomy places the organism in Eukaryota, Metazoa, Mollusca, Gastropoda, Planorbidae. The transcript has 4 exons. The record is from RefSeq and is a predicted model, not a curated record.
GCCUGGUACCAGACUAUAUAAGGACGUGGACAUCAAUAUCCAGGCGUACUUACUUUCGUCGCUUACUUUCAACCUUCCUGAUUUCAAAACAAGAAACAAUAUAAACCACCGAAAUGAAUCCAUCACUGAACGAAUUCCAUCAAGUUAGACGUAAGACAACACCAAAGGAAUCAGGAAGGUCAAGCGAAACCCUUUCAGCUAUACCGAACAAGUUACACCUUGACAGAGUUAACAAUAUGAUCGUUGGUCCUGGUAACAUAAAUAUAAUUAACAACUACUAUUUUAAAGAUAAAGACAUGAUCGCUGCUAUAGACAUGGAGUCACAUCAACAGUCUUUAGAGUGUAUUGAAAGAGUUCAUCUUUGUAGACAAAUUGAUGUCACCAGUGUGAAAAACAUGAUCACAGAUAGAGGAACAAUUAAUGUCACCAACAACAUUUUAAUCACUGUCAAUGAUUCACUGAAUCAAGUACAGAGCCAGAGAGCUAUUGGUCGAGGAGAUUACAGCUGCUUAAAAAGAUUUUAUGACAGAGCUAGAAGUAUAGCUGAAUAUAUAGGCGACACAUUUCGAUAAUCCCAACUAAGGGAUUGUCGUCUAUAUAAAAAAAAAGGGGACGGGGUCUAAUGACUCUCAAGCUUGCCUCCUCGUGGUGGACCCUGGGUGAAACUGUGCUGUGCUAGCGGUCGGUUUCAGCGAAAUAAGCUUGAGGACAACGUACAUCGCUUCAGUGCUGAAGGUAAUUAGAGCAGCAAAACAAAAAGACGAAAACAGUUUCCGAACAUUAAACUUGAGGAGUUGUAACGUGGCUAAGAUAAGUAUUACCGCAUUUAUUUGAUUUGUAUACCUACCAAAACAUUAAUAAAUUGAAAAAUUAACCGAUUAAUUUUAUUAUUAAUUUAAUACCAAUUAAUAUUUGGUAAUUCAUUACUGUGUUUGAUUUUGAAUAAGGGGAAUAACUUCUACAUUAUUGAUCUAUCUAUCUAUCUAUCUAUCUAUCUAUCUAUCUAUCUAUCUAAUUUAUCAAUAUCUAUAUUUAUAUGCAUAUAUAUAUUUAAAUAUGUGUGUAUGUGUGUGUGUGUGCGCGGAGUUCUUCCCCUGUUAGAAGCCUUGUAUUUUUUUUUAAGUUUUUUUUUUCAGUAUUCUGCUUUUUUUGGUAUAAUUCCUGCUAUUAGCUUGCACUUUUUCAUAUGUGUGGGAGGAGGAAUCUAAAAAGUUUAAUGAAAAAAAAUCUUUAAUACAUAUUAGGUUAUUCGUUUAUACCUCUGUAUAUCAAAAACGACUCCAACGAUUUUUAUAGAAUUUGACUGUUUAUGCCAGGAGUGGGCAACCUUUUUCUUACGAGGGCCACAUUUAAGAUAUUUUAGGAAUGGGGGGGGGGGCGCAAGUAUCUUUAUAUAUAUAAAUUUUAUAUGUUUACGAAUUAGAAAAAUACUCUAGCUAAUUGAGAAUAAUGCCUUUAAUUUAAAUUUACUUAGAAAUAUUUUUAUGUAUUUGAAUUUGUUUAUGUAUAAACUGUAAUGUAAUGUAAUGUUCCCCUUUCUGACCUUGUGGUCUAUAUGGCAGAUGAUGUAAAGGUUAUCUGUUUCUGUGGCCAACGGUUAACGAGGGUGUCAUGUGGCCAGCACAACGACCAACCGCCUUUACUUUUCCCUAACUAAUGUCAGGUACCCAUUAGAGCUGGGUGGACUCAGAGGCGCCCGAAGAUCCCGAAAUUAAAAAUCCCUGUCUUCACCAGGAUUCGAACCCAGGUCAAGCGCUUUACCGCUCAGCCACCGCGCCUCCCAUGUAUAAACUGUGAGCAACCUAAUUUAUGUAGGGAAUUUGUUUGUUUCCAAAUCUUCCCUGAACUGCCUGUGGUGAAGACCUCUAGCUCUGAUAAGUUUGAUCACUCAGAUAAUGGGGUCAAUAAAUGUUUUAUUUUCAACGCAGUUUAGAGUCUAUAAUUGGGUUAGUUUAUGAUUGGGAUAUUAUUCUUUAAUUUAAUAUAUUGUUCUCAGUCUAAGCACGGACUACAUCAGUUGCUACACUUGCCGUUUGUUUCAUGACAACACUUUCAACACAGUUCUUCAUAGUAUCGAAUAAAUACUGGCCUGAGUUUGUGUCUUUGACCGAAUGUUUUGAAAUAAGAAUAAUUUUCGUUUACUUUAAACUUUUGAGAAUGACUUGUAGGGAAAAUGUUUCUUUAGCGCCUUUUCAUCAUAAGUGAUAAGAGUCGUAAGUCUCAAUAAUUGAUAUAGAUAUUUAUAAUUAUUUAUUUCUAAUAUAUUUGCAUUUUAUAAUAUGUCAGCACACCUGAUUUCUGUAGGUGUUCGCGGGCCGCAUAAAACGCUUCGGUGGGCCGCAUGUUGCCCGCGGGCCGCAAUUAGCCCACCCCUGGUUUAUGCAUAUGUUUGGUGGAAAAAUCACUGGCUGACUUGCCACACUGUGAUAGCUCUGAUUUGAACUCUAUAAUUAAAUUAAAAUCAAAUAUGACUUACGUCCCUUUUAUCAAUGAAAUUGGUCUGAUUGACAUACCAAAAAAAAAUAUUGUUUUUUGAAAUGACACACUAUGUCCCAUAUGAAGAAUCAAGAAGAAAUAAAUUGAAAGUAACGAGUGAGCCUUAACGAUGUCAUGGUACACAUUGUAAUGACUGAAAUCUAAUUUAGAUCACUAGAGAUGCUUUUAGAACAAUAUGCAUACAAAAUGAGAGAAUUUUACCAAGAGAAUUUGAUGAAUUACAGAAAUGGGAAUCAAUUGGAGCAUGUCUUUCCACCCAGAAAAAUUUCAGUUAUUAAGAGUAACAAAAAAAACUAAAACAAAUUAAUUCCACGUAUCUUAUUCAUGGUAAACCAGUAACACAGACUAGAAACGCAAAAUACCUAGGUGUUAUAAUAAAUGAAAAACUGUCUUGGAAUCCCCAUAUUGAUGAAACUAUUUUAAAAAAUCAAACAAAGCAUUAGGGAUUUACUAGAAGAAAUUUCUAUAAAUCAAAUAAGAACAUAAAACUAAAAUGUUAUUUAACCUUGGUUAGGCCAAUAAUAGAAUAUGCAUCCUCUGUUUGAGACCCAUCAACUCAAGAAAACAUUAAGAAACUGGAACAGACACAAAAUAGAGCAGUAAGAUUCAUAACAGGCGAAUAUUCACAUUUGACUAGAGUAACACCUUUAGUAAAAUCACUAAAUUUAGAAAAAGUCUUCAGGAGAGAAGACUUAAAAAUAAAGUAGCAAUUAUACAUAAAACACUGAACCAUAAUCUUCAAAUACAAAAACAAAAGUUAAUAAAAUACUCUGAAAGACACAAAGUUAAAUACACAUUCCUCGUUCCAUAUGCUAGGACAAAUUUGUACAAAAGCUCCUUCUUCCCUAGCGCUAUUAGAGCAUGGAAUGGGUUGCCUGAACUAGACAGGAAAAUCAGUGACUUGGCAGAUAUAUAGUCUAUGGUUAAUAUGCAUGACUAAAUGCAUGAAGCGUAGGACGUUAUCAUCUUCUUUUUUGAAGUAACGUCUGUAUUAUAUAGGAUAAGAUAAGAUAAUGAAAAUAAAAAAAACUAAAAAUAUUUACAAAUAAAAAUGUGCAGUACAGUACAUUAGUAACUAAUAUACACAGGUAUUUUUUCCCCAUAUGAACUGCAGAUCAGGUAUGUUCCUAACAAAUAACAAAGUUUUAUGAUUGGCGAGUUGAAACUUAAUAGGAUAGCUACUAGUUCACGUGGGUGUUUUCGUAUCUACAGAAGUAAUGUAAGCUAUAGGAUAGUCCUUAACCUAUCCAGCUAGAAUACGUAAGACUGCCUAUCAGAGACGGGCAUAUUCUUGGUAAAUGAGUAUUUUAAACUGCUUCGGAAAUUCGCUUUACCACGCGCUGAUACUCAACGAAUCUUACAAAUUUACAACUUACAAAUUAUGAGAAACAACAUUUUUAUUUUGUCAUUCUUGAAAACAGUGGCGUAGCUAGGGUGGGGAGGAGGGGAGAAUUUAAAAAUCCCCCACUUGAGGGAUGCCCCCAAAUGAGUGUUUUUACAUUAAAAAUUAAAUAUUACGCGAAAUACAGGUGCCCCAAAAGAGGUCAAGCCCCUCCGGGCCCCAAACGAUGGAAAAUUUCUAGCUACGCCCCUGCUUAAAAAGGAUAAAAUGAGAAAUAUUUGUUUUACAUUUAAUAUAUACUAUAUAGAAUUCAGAAUUCACUUAUCAUAGUCAAGCUUAAUUAGCAUACAUGUUUUUUAAACAAUGAACGCAAAUUAUUUUAUUUUCUACUACGUUCAUUCGACGAAACUAUUCAUUUUCUACUUCAUCUGCAGAAACUAAAGAAAUCACAUUUGUAAAGCCUAUACAAAAUGAGAGUAACACAUUUCCAGAGCAGAACCUAAAGAAAUCUAAUGUUCAAGACCUACAGAAACUAAAAGAAACCCCAGAGCCUUAAGAAAGUAAAAGAUACAUGGUCAGGGCCCACAGAAACUGAAGGAAAAAUGCGACAAAACAAAAUGUAAUAAAUAUAUUAGAACUAAUUUCUAUUGAUUGUGAUUGACGCUAAACUAAAUUUGAAAUAUUUUUUUCA